UAUUAAAAAUUUCAUUAAUUUCUACUGUUAAAAACUGGUGUGACUAACAAAAUAAUCAAACAGUUGCAUGUGGCGUGCCACGUGUACCUUAUGCUGACUUAUAAGGACCAGUGUUUUUUACAGUAAAAAUGGUUGAAAUUUUUAAUA
Gossypium hirsutum (cotton) is the source of this 147-nucleotide non-coding RNA. Lineage: Eukaryota; Viridiplantae; Streptophyta; Magnoliopsida; Malvales; Malvaceae. The record is from Rfam.